RNAcentral lists this long non-coding RNA (2569 nucleotides) under Homo sapiens (human). Its description in RNAcentral is "HSALNT0308515". Lineage: Eukaryota; Metazoa; Chordata; Mammalia; Primates; Hominidae. The record is from RNAcentral.
AAGGGAGAAGGGGAGGCAACUCAAGGCAGUUUGCAGGGAGGAAAGGUAGGCACCUGAAAAAGACCAGACCCAGACCGUGAGGAAAAGACCCUGGAGUGUGGACCAGACUCAGUAACAGACCCUGAAAAGCUGAGGGAAGUCGAGGUUCUGACUCAAGCUGGUGGCAGAUAUUCGAGCACUCCCCACUCAAGACACCUGACGUGGGUGCACCAGUGAGAGAAAGGAUAGAGCGUGUGAGAUGAAAGGGCUGGUCUUAUUAAGCCCUACAAUACUCUGGGGUCCAAGCAAUCCUGCUGUGGGACCCUGCUAAGUGAACAUAAUGCCGAGGAAGAACAGCUCUCCUCUUUUUGCCAAAGCCUGCCAAGGUGUCAAGGCUUGAGAAAGAGUGGUGGGUGCCACAACAGAGAUCAGGUUCAGCCAUCAAGGCCAGCAACAGUGCAGCAGCUCAGCCCAGAAGACUGGGCUGACAUGCAGGCCUAUGUUAGACGUCUCUUGGGAACUCUUAGGCAUAUCUUUUGGUGAAAGGGUGCAGGGGAUGGAGGGGAAAGUUGGCAAACUUUUACAGAAUUGGUGGGGAUGUGAGUACCAAAUACAAUGGGACCUUGCUCACCUGCUGGUAAAGCUUGAGGAUCAUUUAGUUACACCGGAGUUCUGAAUAUUCUAGUCCCUUUUAAAGGAUGUCAUGAGAUGUCUGAUCUACCAGGACCAGCCCUGCUAUUCUGCUCUGUCCUAGUAAUCAGAGGUCUCUAACCUCUGAACCACCAAGAACUUGAGCUUCCAUGAUUACAGAGAAGGGCUCUUUCUCCCAUGUAGAGAACUAGGAAGUAGCUGGUGACCACUAUGUCCACAUGGGCUCCCUCACCCGAUCAUCAAGGUCCCCUGUGCUAUCCAUAGCCUUCCCUCACCCUGGCAAAGGUGAUGCAAAGCCUUUACUCUACACACCCAUCCAACCUGAGCCUUAUCAUCUAACAUACUCACAUGGGGUCUUAUUGUACUCUAUGCACCCCCAGUUCAAGAGGAUGACAAGCGAACCUUACUGUAAAUAUCUUUUCAUGUUUCUAAUCCUCCCACACAUGCCUCCGGUUUCCUCCCUGGCCCUCCAAGCUUACAGUCUGUUUCCUUCUGUGGUGAAGUUGGGCAAGUUCCGAUGCUUGGGGUGGAGAGCCAUGAAUCAUGAGUGAGAGGCUCUGGGAACACCAAGUCCACACUACUCUACUUACAAGUCCUAAACUGCCUAGUGGGAUCCAACGCUGACCCCAGUGGAGUUCUUUACCCAUGACUGGUGUCCUCAGGAAUGUGUCUGUGGGAAGAAAAGUCUCAAAUGCUGGGGAAUGGAGCCAUCGAUAAUUUCUUUCCUAUGUUGGAGUGCAAGAGAGCCCCUAAGGCUGGAGCACUCCCCAAGUAAGCAGGCAGAGACAGAGACCUGAGUCCUACUGCUGAGUCAUUUAAAUCUGCUUUAGAUCGGGUUUUCCCAGGGCAUGGAAAGGACAGGGCUCCCAGUGGAGAUAUCAUGUAGCUAUAGGGCCUAGAAGUAUUUUUUCAGUAGAUGAAAUUUAGAAAUAAUUUGAAUAUUUUAUGCUGGGGAGGUAGCUUGUGGAGUGAAAUGGUCGGGUAAAGGAAACACUGAGUUCAAGUGCUUCUUUAUAAAGGACACUUAACUGAUCUAAAUAUUUGUCAAGCUGAAUCGCUACAUCCACUCUCACCUGCCUGAAAUCAAUAUGCUCAAGUCAAACGCAUUUGCCUGCAUCUGAAUGUGGAGAAUGAACUUCUUAAAGCUGAACUGGCAGCUGGAAGGGGAGAGAGAAGAGCUGGACAGGGAGCCAGGACACCGGAGUUCUUUUCCACUGUGGUGGGAUCUGGAAGAAGCUGUUGAAUCUCUGUAGAGUUAGCUUUUAAAUGCUGUGAGUCUUUGGAAAGCUGUGCGAAUAACUGCUAAACACCCAGGACAGCUUAUGCAUUUUUUGAAAAAGGUUCCUGGUGCUGGUUCCAGCAGAAUAGACACAGAGAUGCAUGGCCUAACUCCCACUCCCUCUUCAGGACUGAGCCACGCAGCCCCCCAUCUGCCAGAAGUGUUAGCUGUUGACGGCUCACAGCUGAGUCCCUCUCCAGGCAUUGCUGAAAAGAGCCACCUUGCUCUAGGAUGUGCCCCCACCCUGGGGGCAGCAUACAUUCCAAGUGAUUAGUCCAUAGUGUGGUACAAAGGUUGUACCCAUCUUGCCUGAAUUCAGGAUCUCUUGGAAAACCACCCCAGCUCUGCAGCUCCUGGUGGGGUGCUGAGGCCUCUGCUGCAGCUGCAUCGCAGUUUACUUUCCCCUCUGCCUAGUCCUGCUGCCUUCACUCCCCAACAGGUAUUGUUCCCCAGAGAACUCCCUGCCCCCAGUCACCUGUAAGCAAAUCUCCACUGCAGUCUGUGGCCUGGGAAACCUGCUCUAGGAUCCCAAAGUGAACACAGCUUCCCAUUGAAAUGUGUCUUUGGGUGUUAAUCUGUCCUGCCAUCUUUACAUCUAAUCAAGAGGUAGAGCUUCCCCUGGUGUUCCUGCUGGGUACAUAAAGGAUCUUUUCCAUUGUC